CUUAACACAUGCAGUCGAACGGGCUCUUCGGAGCUAGUGGCGGACGGGUGAGGAACGCGUGAGAACCUGCCUCAAGGUCGGGGACAACAGUUGGAAACGACUGCUAAUACCGGAUGAGCCGAAUAGGUAAAAGAUUUAUCGCCUAGAGAGGGGCUCGCGUCUGAUUAGCUAGAUGGUGAGGUAAAGGCUUACCAUGGCGACGAUCAGUAGCUGGUCUGAGAGGAUGAGCAGCCACACUGGGACUGAGACACGGCCCAGACUCCUACGGGAGGCAGCAGUGGGGAAUUUUCCGCAAUGGGCGAAAGCCUGACGGAGCAAUACCGCGUGAGGGAGGAAGGCUCUUGGGUUGUAAACCUCWAWACUUAGGGAAGAAAAAAAUGACGGUACCUAAUGUAAGCAUCGGCUAACUCCGUGCCAGCAGCCGCGGUAAUACGGAGGAUGCAAGCGUUAUCCGGAAUCAUUGGGCGUAAAGAGUCCGUAGGUGGCACUUCAAGUCUGCUUUCAAAGACCGAAGCUCAACUUCGGAAAGGGAGUGGAAACUGAAGAGCUAGAGUAUAGUAGGGGUAGAGGGAAUUCCUAGUGUAGCGGUGAAAUGCGUAGAGAUUAGGAAGAACACCAGUGGCGAAGGCGCUCUACUGGGCAUAUACUGACACUGAGGGACGAAAGCUAGGGGAGCGAAAGGGAUUAGAUACCCCUGUAGUCCUAGCGGUAAACGAUGGAUACUAGGCGUAGUGCUGUUAGAGGGACUGUGCCGAAGCUAACGCGUUAAGUAUCCCGCCUGGGGAGUACGCACGCAAGUGUGAAACUCAAAGGAAUUGACGGGGACCCGCACAAGCGGUGGAGUAUGUGGUUUAAUUCGAUGCAACGCGAAGAACCUUACCAAGGCUUGACAUCCUGCGAAUCUUGGAGAAAUCUGAGAGUGCCUAAGGGAACGCAGAGACAGGUGGUGCAUGGCUGUCGUCAGCUCGUGUCGUGAGAUGUUGGGUUAAGUCCCGCAACGAGCGCAACCCUCGUCCUUAGUUGCCAGCAUUAAGUUGGGGACUCUAGGGAGACCGCCGGGGAGAACUCGGAGGAAGGUGGGGAUGACGUCAAGUCAGCAUGCCCCUUACGUCUUGGGCUACACACGUACUACAAUGGUUGGGACAAAGGGGAGCGAAACCGCGAGGUGGAGCGAAUCUCAUCAAACCCAGCCACAGUUCAGAUUGCAGGCUGAAACUCGCCUGCAUGAAGGAGGAAUCGCUAGUAAUCGCAGGUCAGCAUACUGCGGUGAAUCCGUUCCCGGGNCUUGUACACACCGCCCGUCACACCAUGGAAGUUGGUCACGCCCGAAGUCGUUAUUCUAACCCAAGUGGAAGGAGAC
RNAcentral lists this ribosomal RNA (1360 nucleotides) under Cyanobacterium aponinum Kh.A. RNAcentral describes it as "bacterial SSU rRNA". It matches the Rfam family "Bacterial small subunit ribosomal RNA". Lineage: Bacteria; Bacillati; Cyanobacteriota; Cyanophyceae; Chroococcales; Geminocystaceae. The record is from RNAcentral.